AGUGAACGCUGGCGGCAGGCCUAAUACAUGCAAGUCGAACGGCAGCACAGCAGAGCUUGCUCUGUGGGUGGCGAGUGGCGGACGGGUGAGGAAUACAUGGGAAUCUGCCCAGUCGUGGGGGAUAACGUAGGGAAACUUACGCUAAUACCGCAUGCGCCCUUCGGGGGAAAGCCGGGGACCUUCGGGCCUGGCGCGAUUGGAUGAGCCCAUGUCGGAUUAGCUAGUUGGCGGGGUAAUGGCCCACCAAGGCGACGAUCCGUAGCUGGUCUGAGAGGAUGAUCAGCCACACUGGAACUGAGACACGGUCCAGACUCCUACGGGAGGCAGCAGUAGGGAAUAUUGGACAAUGGGCGCAAGCCUGAUCCAGCCAUGCCGCGUGAGUGAAGAAGGCCUUGGUUGUAAAGCACUUUAAGCGGGAGGAAGGCCUGAUGGCUAAUAUCCAUCGGGAUUGACGUUACCCGCAGAAUAAGCACCGGACAAACUU
RNAcentral lists this ribosomal RNA (484 nucleotides) under uncultured bacterium. Its description in RNAcentral is "bacterial SSU rRNA". It matches the Rfam family "Bacterial small subunit ribosomal RNA", at positions 29 to 504 of the family's 1533-position model. The record is from RNAcentral.